CACCCAUGUCACUGUCAUAUACCUGCCAUCUGUGUCACUGUCAUAUACCUGCCACCCAUGUCAGUGUCAUAUACCUGCCAUCUGUGUCACUGUCAUAUACCUGUCACCUGUGUCACUGUCAUAUACCUGUCACUGUGUCACUGUCAUAUACCUGCCACCCAUAUCAGUGUCCCACACCCGCCACCCCUGUCACUGUCCCACCAGGGAGCACCAGGGGCCACACCUGUACCCGUGUCACUGUCAUGUACCUGUCACCUAUGUCACUGUCCCACCAGGCACUGCCCGGGGGCCAAACCCGCCACCCAUGUCAUUGUCACACACCUGCCACCCAUGUCACUGUCCCAUCAAAGGGUUCAGGGGAACGCCGGGGGCCAGACCUGCCACCUCUGCCACCGUCGCACCAAAGAGUGCAGGGGACCAACACUGGGGCCACACCUGCCGCCCGUGUCACUGUCCCACACCUGCUGCCCGUGUCACUGUCCCACACCUACUGCCCGUGUCACUGUCCCACACCUGCCGCCCGUGUCACUGUCCCACACCUGCUGCCCGUGUCACUGUCCCACACCUGCCGCCCGUGUCACUGUCCCACACCUGCCGCCCGUGUCACUGUCCCACCGAAGGGUGCAGGGAGGAGCUGUCUGCACUUACCGGGGGUGCCGGGGCGCUGGGGCCAGCGCAGGCUCAGCCCUGUGGAGGAGCAGAGGGGGAUCCCGUGUCCCUGUGUCCGUGUGGCCGUGUGUCCGUGUGUCCGUGUGUCCGUGUGUGCCUGCGUGUGUCUGUGUGCGCGUGUGAGUCUGUGCGCCCCCUUUUUCCUCUCCCUCUCUCCCUUUCUCUCUCUCUCUUUUUGAACUGUAGCUCUUGAAUGCGUGCCAUUCCUUAGACUUUCAGUCUGUUAAAGGAUUUUAAUUAGGCCUUGACUCCACAUCACCGUGGGUGCCUUUGUGGACUGGUGAAUGGUACAAGAGUAGUGUGAAUCCAGCCCCUAUCCAGCACUAGGCAGCCGUGUAAGAAAUACU
Molecule: long non-coding RNA, 1016 nt
Filed under: Cyanoderma ruficeps (rufous-capped babbler)
Lineage: Eukaryota; Metazoa; Chordata; Aves; Passeriformes; Timaliidae
Description: lncRNA (ENSCRFG00000000984.1)
Source: RNAcentral